Molecule: ribosomal RNA, 253 nt
Filed under: uncultured bacterium
Lineage: Bacteria
Description: partial 16S ribosomal RNA
Rfam family: Bacterial small subunit ribosomal RNA
Source: RNAcentral
UACGAAGGGGGCUAGCGUUGCUCGGAAUCACUGGGCGUAAAGCGCACGUAGGCGGCUUUUUAAGUCAGGGGUGAAAUCCUGGAGCUCAACUCCAGAACUGCCUUUGAUACUGAGAAGCUUGAGUCCGGGAGAGGUGAGUGGAACUGCGAGUGUAGAGGUGAAAUUCGUAGAUAUUCGCAAGAACACCAGUGGCGAAGGCGGCUCACUGGCUCGGUACUGACGCUGAGGUGCGAAAGCGUGGGGAGCAAACAGG